This 67-nucleotide transfer RNA is filed under the name Varanus niloticus (Nile monitor). RNAcentral's name for it is "tRNA-Glu". The record is from RNAcentral. Lineage: Eukaryota; Metazoa; Chordata; Lepidosauria; Squamata; Varanidae.
GUUUUUAUAGUUGAAUAACAACGUGGAUUUUUCGUGUCCUUGGUUUUGGAUAGUCCAAAUAAAAAUA